RNAcentral lists this ribosomal RNA (207 nucleotides) under uncultured bacterium. Its description in RNAcentral is "partial 16S ribosomal RNA". It matches the Rfam family "Bacterial small subunit ribosomal RNA", at positions 568 to 774 of the family's 1533-position model. The record is from RNAcentral.
AGCGUAGACGGCAAGGCAAGUCUGAUGUGAAAACCCAGGGCUUAACCCUGGGACUGCAUUGGAAACUGUCUGGCUCGAGUGCCGGAGAGGUAAGCGGAAUUCCUAGUGUAGCGGUGAAAUGCGUAGAUAUUAGGAGGAACACCAGUGGCGAAGGCGGCUUACUGGACUGUAACUGACGUUGAGGCUCGAAAGUGUGGGUAGCAAACA